RNAcentral lists this ribosomal RNA (253 nucleotides) under uncultured bacterium. RNAcentral's name for it is "partial 16S ribosomal RNA". It matches the Rfam family "Bacterial small subunit ribosomal RNA", at positions 524 to 776 of the family's 1533-position model. The record is from RNAcentral.
UACGGAGGGGGCUAGCGUUGUUCGGAAUUACUGGGCGUAAAGCGCACGUAGGCGGACGCUUAAGUCAGGGGUGAAAUCCCGGGGCUCAACCCCGGAACUGCCUUUGAUACUGGGUGUCUGGAGGUCGAGAGAGGUGAGUGGAAUUCCUGGUGUAGCGGUGAAAUGCGCAGAUAUCAGGAAGAACACCCGUGGCGAAAGCGGCUCUCUGGAACGGUACUGACGCUGAGACGCGAAAGCGUGGGGAGCGAACAGG